RNAcentral lists this ribosomal RNA (505 nucleotides) under uncultured bacterium. Its description in RNAcentral is "partial 16S ribosomal RNA". It matches the Rfam family "Bacterial small subunit ribosomal RNA", at positions 28 to 507 of the family's 1533-position model. The record is from RNAcentral.
GACGAACGCUGGCGGCGUGCCUAAUACAUGCAAGUAGAACGCACAGUUUAUACCGUAGCUUGCUACACCAUAAACUGUGAGUUGCGAACGGGUGAGUAACGCGUAGGUAACCUGCCUGGUAGCGGGGGAUAACUAUUGGAAACGAUAGCUAAUACCGCAUAAUAUUGAUUAUUGCAUGAUAAUUGAUUGAAAGAUGCUAUUGCAUCACUACCAGAUGGACCUGCGUUGUAUUAGCUAGUAGGUGAGGUAACGGCUCACCUAGGCGACGAUACAUAGCCGACCUGAGAGGGUGAUCGGCCACACUGGGACGGAGACACGGCCCAGACGCCUACGGGAGGCAGCAGUAGGGAAUCUUCGGCAAUGGACGAAAGUCUGACCGAGCAACGCCGCGUGAGUGAAGAAGGUUUUCGGAUCGUAAAGCUCUGUUGUAAGAGAAGAACGGGUGUGAGAGUGGAAAGUUCACACUGUGACGGUAGCUUACCAGAAAGGGACGGCUAACUACGUG